GGGCCCGUGGCCCAGCCAGGAUAGGGUGCUAAUCGCGAGCCAGUUGUCGUGGGAUCGAAGCCCACCGGGCCCG
This 73-nucleotide transfer RNA is filed under the name Nitrososphaerota archaeon. RNAcentral describes it as "Thaumarchaeota archaeon tRNA-Arg". Lineage: Archaea; Thermoproteati; Nitrososphaerota. The record is from RNAcentral.